GCCUACAGGUCAUCCUCAUUUUGAAGAAUCUCCGCUGCAAUAGGUUACAAGGUUUUAUAUAGCGCAAGGCGCACCAUCAUAGGGUCUAAAUUCUAGAACCAGGAGGCUCAGAACCAAACCACACUGUGUAUGAGUUCACCGAGAAAUGAUGAAGAUGAGGAUGAGGAUGAGAGUGAAGGUGGUGGUGAUUUGGUGGUGAGGAGGAGAAGGAGGUCGGAUCUUGAAGGCGAUGAUCUAGCGGAGAUGUCUGCAACGAGAAGAUGACAGUCGCGGAUUUUGAGCAAGUGGGUUGCUUGACAAGCACAGAAGAUGAUCACCACGAGAGAGCUGAGGACUCGGGAGAAUGAGUUGAUGGUGCUUCAUUCAAGUCGCGGAUUUUGAGCAGCUAUUAAUCAUCUGAAAGCGGUUCAAGAUACUCCUGAGCUUCGUUCCGCCAUUGAAGAGAUUCAGGACAUAUUAACUUGAAGUUUUGACCUGGUGAUCUAAUUCGAAUUCGUGUGCAGCCUGAGAGAAUCACAUUUGGCCUAAAGGUUGAUCAAAGUAAACCAAUUUAUAAUGCUUUCAAGGUUAUGAAGGAUUCACCAAACUGGGCAACACUAAGUGAUGCUCGUAAACGAAUAGUUGAAUGUAAGCAUCAUCAAUAGAUGGGUUGCCAGCUACCGCUCUUGGAUUGGCCGCACAAAUAGCCACAUCAAAGGGUCAUGAAAAUGCCACUGCCGAAAAUGGGCCAUGGAUGAUAACAU
RNAcentral lists this long non-coding RNA (743 nucleotides) under Helianthus annuus (common sunflower). The record is from RNAcentral. Lineage: Eukaryota; Viridiplantae; Streptophyta; Magnoliopsida; Asterales; Asteraceae.